GACGAACGCUGGCGGCGUGCUUAACACAUGCAAGUCGAACGGAAAGGCCUCUUUCGGGGGGUACUCGAGUGGCGAACGGGUGAGUAACACGUGAGUAACCUGCCCUUGACGUUGGGAUAACUUCAGGAAACUGGGGCUAAUACCGGAUAGGAGCUCCUGCUGCAUGGUGGGGGUUGGAAAGUUUCGGCGGUUGGGGAUGGACUCGCGGCUUAUCAGCUUGUUGGUGGGGUAGUGGCUUACCAAGGCUUUGACGGGUAGCCGGCCUGAGAGGGUGACCGGCCACAUUGGGACUGAGAUACGGCCCAGACUCCUACGGGAGGCAGCAGUGGGGAAUAUUGCACAAUGGGUGGAAGCCUGAUGCAGCAACGCCGUGUGCGGGAUGACGGCCUUCGGGUUGUAAACCGCUUUCACUCAUGACGAAGCUUUGUGUGACGGUAGUGGGUAAAGAAGCACCGGCUAACUACGUG
RNAcentral lists this ribosomal RNA (467 nucleotides) under uncultured bacterium. RNAcentral describes it as "partial 16S ribosomal RNA". It matches the Rfam family "Bacterial small subunit ribosomal RNA", at positions 28 to 507 of the family's 1533-position model. The record is from RNAcentral.